GCCGAUGUGGCGGAAUUGGUAGACGCGCUACCUUGAGGGGGUGGUAAGCUACGCUUGUGCCGGUUCGACUCCGGCCAUCGGCACCA
RNAcentral lists this transfer RNA (86 nucleotides) under Candidatus Ruthia endofausta. Its description in RNAcentral is "tRNA-Leu". It matches the Rfam family "tRNA". Rfam says of the family: Transfer RNA (tRNA) molecules are approximately 80 nucleotides in length. Their secondary structure includes four short double-helical elements and three loops (D, anti-codon, and T loops). Lineage: Bacteria; Pseudomonadati; Pseudomonadota; Gammaproteobacteria; Pseudothioglobaceae (SeqCode). The record is from RNAcentral.